CCUACGGGUGGCAGCAGUGGGGGAUAUUGCGCAAUGGGGGCAACCCUGAUGCAGCGACGCCGCGUGAACGAAGAAGGAUUUCGGAAUGUAAAGCUCUAUCAGCAGGGAAGAAGAAGUGACGGUAACUGAAUAAGUAAGACCGGCUAAAUACGUGCCAGCAGCCGCGGUAAUACGUAGGGUGCAAGCGUUAUCCGGAUUUAAUGGGUGUAAAGGGAGCGAAGGCGGGCCGGCAAGUCUGAUGUGAAAGCCCGCGGCCCAACCGCGGGACUGCAUUGGGAACUACCGGGCUGGAGUGUCGGAGAGGUAGGCGGAAUUCCUAGUGUAGCGGUGAAAUGCGUAGAUAUUAGGAGGAACACCAGUGGCGAAGGCGGCUUGCUGGGCUUUUACUGACGCUGAGGCUCGAAAGUGUGGGGAGCAAACAGGAUUAGAUACCCUUGUAGUC
Molecule: ribosomal RNA, 442 nt
Filed under: uncultured bacterium
Lineage: Bacteria
Description: partial 16S ribosomal RNA
Rfam family: Bacterial small subunit ribosomal RNA
Source: RNAcentral